This 800-nucleotide ribosomal RNA is filed under the name Psychrobacter celer. RNAcentral's name for it is "bacterial SSU rRNA". It matches the Rfam family "Bacterial small subunit ribosomal RNA", at positions 169 to 966 of the family's 1533-position model. Lineage: Bacteria; Pseudomonadati; Pseudomonadota; Gammaproteobacteria; Moraxellales; Moraxellaceae. The record is from RNAcentral.
CCGCAUACGACCUACGGGAGAAAGGGGGCAGUUUACUGCUCUCGCUAUUAGAUGAGCCUAAGUCGGAUUAGCUAGAUGGUGGGGUAAAGGCCUACCAUGGCGACGAUCUGUAGCUGGUCUGAGAGGAUGAUCAGCCACACCGGGACUGAGACACGGCCCGGACUCCUACGGGAGGCAGCAGUGGGGAAUAUUGGACAAUGGGGGCAACCCUGAUCCAGCCAUGCCGCGUGUGUGAAGAAGGCCUUUUGGUUGUAAAGCACUUUAAGCAGUGAAGAAGACUCUAUGGUUAAUACCCAUAGACGAUGACAUUAGCUGCAGAAUAAGCACCGGCUAACUCUGUGCCAGCAGCCGCGGUAAUACAGAGGGUGCAAGCGUUAAUCGGAAUUACUGGGCGUAAAGCGAGCGUAGGUGGCUUGAUAAGUCAGAUGUGAAAUCCCCGGGCUUAACCUGGGAACUGCAUCUGAUACUGUUAAGCUAGAGUAGGUGAGAGGGAAGUAGAAUUUCAGGUGUAGCGGUGAAAUGCGUAGAGAUCUGAAGGAAUACCGAUGGCGAAGGCAGCUUCCUGGCAUCAUACUGACACUGAGGCUCGAAAGCGUGGGUAGCAAACAGGAUUAGAUACCCUGGUAGUCCACGCCGUAAACGAUGUCUACUAGUCGUUGGGUCCCUUGAGGACUUAGUGACGCAGCUAACGCAAUAAGUAGACCGCCUGGGGAGUACGGCCGCAAGGUUAAAACUCAAAUGAAUUGACGGGGGCCCGCACAAGCGGUGGAGCAUGGGCUUUAAUUCGAUGCAACGCGAAG